This 1324-nucleotide long non-coding RNA is filed under the name Oryctolagus cuniculus (rabbit). Its description in RNAcentral is "lncRNA (ENSOCUG00000038963.1)". Lineage: Eukaryota; Metazoa; Chordata; Mammalia; Lagomorpha; Leporidae. The record is from RNAcentral.
GGUUGAUCAUCAUGGGCUGGCAAGCUACUUUCUUGUAUGCCCUUGAAGCCUGCAUGAGCAUUCGACUUCUCUGGCCAAUAAUAAAGCAUGUUAUUGUGGUGUUUGUGUCUGCACCUUGCUCAUCCCAUGCAUGCCCCAGGAGUGACGGAAGUCAUCUGUCAUGUAGAGGCACCAAGGCUUGCAGAGGACUUUGCACAAGGAACAUUGAACUUGUUGAGUUAAGCCAUUGAGAUAGAGUGGGUGUCUGCUUCCCGCAUAACCAUGUCUGUUCUGCUCACCCAGUGGUGAAAGGAUGGGGGCGACAAUGGGUAUACAGUGUCUUAGACACACAAUGGCCUGGUGCAUAAUUGUCAGCAAAUGGUAGCUCUUCUUUGAAUUAGUCUUGACCCUGACAGUGAUUAUAUGGAUGACCUGGAGCCUUACCUACAGUUUCUUAUUUUUUACAUCUUAGAACAUCUCCAGUCUCCCUGUAGAUAUGAAGGGCUGUUGGAUAAGUAAAUUUGUGACUACUGACAUUGGGGAAGGAGCCAGAGCCAAUGAGGAGCAGGAGAGCGAGUAGUUAGACUGCUUUCAGCUUCGAACUCCCCUGCAGAGGGUCCACCUCUUCUGGAGCAAGGAAGUGGGUGGAACUCAGAGCUGGCCGUGGAUUGCUGGGUGAGUUUUACCCUGCACAGACUCAAGGGGUUUAACCAUCAGGGGGAUUGCAUAAGACUUGGUCUUGUAAAGUUACAGUAUAUUAAAAAUGCUUUGGAACUGAAGUCCUUUUCUCUCGGAAGAGUAAGUAGUAGUCAAGUGCUAGAACAAUCUGGAAAACAGCAGGUGCUCAACAAAUGCGUUUUUUCUUUCUUUAUUCUUUUCCAGGUUUCAUAACUCAUGCCUUGCUGUGCUUACCCAGGAGAGCUGCCUCCCUUCCCUUGGGCCAAGACACACAGAAGUGCUAUUCUGCACAGCCAAUGUCCAUUCACAUAAACCCAAAUAUUUGCUAUUUAUUAUCGUUGGCUUUGCAUCUGAAAGCAUGUCCUUUACUGAGGAUCUGCUUGUACCUUGCAUACUCCAGCUUUUGUUGGUGUAAAGAUGUCUUUCACUUUCACUCUUACAGAAUAUGUUCACCAUGUAUAGUGUGUUACACGAUAAUGGAACAGAAGUGAAUCACCAAGUCUUCCUGAGCUGUUGAGUCUCUUGCUGAUGCUAACACCGCCAUGAAGCCCACUAUGAUUUCGGCGCCUGAUCUUGUAAACGUGGGUCUGCUACCAGACUCACUUAGCUCUUGACUGCAUUACUGCAUGUUUGCAAUUCAGAAUCAUUGUGUUUUAUUAAAGCAGCC